RNA transcript from Nicotiana tabacum (common tobacco), 727 nucleotides. It is a transcript of the gene named protein NUCLEAR FUSION DEFECTIVE 6, mitochondrial, with no coding region annotated. NCBI's taxonomy places the organism in Eukaryota, Viridiplantae, Streptophyta, Magnoliopsida, Solanales, Solanaceae. The record is from RefSeq and is a predicted model, not a curated record.
AUCCAAGCCAAGCAUUCCCCUAGGGUUUUAGCCCAGAACCCUCUAAUCUCAUUUCCACAGAAAAAUCUUUUCCAUUUGGAAACAUUCUGAACGAUUCUCCCAACCCGAUGGCCUUCGCCGCCGCUAGAUCCAUUUUCCGGUCACCGUACUUGCGCAAUGCCGCCUCAAGGAUAGCGUCGGAGGCUAAAGCAGCUCGACCUCCAUUUCGCAAGGCUUCUAGAACUCCUCUUUCUAAUCGCAUCUUUAGAUGUCCUGCUGAGUUGAGCGCUUGCGUGGAGUCACUGCAACCAUACCACACUGCUACUGCUUCGGCUUUGAUGACUUCCAUGCUUACUGACUCUCUCCGUAGUUACAGUUGGCUUUCAGAAGGUAUCUAGCAAGACCUAUAGGACCCUCGUUUGAUGUCCUUCCCCUCAUUUACGAUUUUGCUCAAAAUGAAGAUGUGUGAUGAUUUUCGGAGAGCUGGAGCUAAAUUUACGUUUGUACUUUCUCACAAUGCGGUGCUAAGUAAAGAGGUUAUAAUGAGUCACCAAAGAGCGCGGCUGGAUUUUUUUAAUUGUUAAACUUAGAAGUGCUAGAUAGACCUUAUCGUUUUCGAAUACUAUAAACAUCCGUGUCUUGGAGAUCAACACUUGUAGUAAUAAUUUGAUACAGAAUUACAUUGCUGAUGUGUGCCUCUCUUUAUAUAUCUUUGUUAUUGAUGGUAAUUGUCCCUUUCUCGUUGUAA